GACGAACGCUGGCGGCGUGCUUAACACAUGCAAGUCGAACGAUGAUCAGGAGCUUGCUCCUGUGAUUAGUGGCGAACGGGUGAGUAACACGUGAGUAACCUGCCCCUGACUCUGGGAUAAGCGUUGUAAACGACGUCUACUACUGGAUAUGAUCACUGGCCGCAUGGUCUGGUGGUGGAAAGAUUUUUUGGUUGGGGAUGGACUCGCGGCCUAUCAGCUUGUUGGUGAGGUAAUGGCUCACCAAGGCGACGACGGGUAGCCGGCCUGAGAGGGUGACCGGCCACACUGGGACUGAGACACGGCCCAGACUCCUACGGGAGGCAGCAGUGGGGAAUAUUGCACAAUGGGCGAAAGCCUGAUGCAGCAACGCCGCGUGAGGGAUGACGGCCUUCGGGUUGUAAACCUCUUUUAGUAGGGAAGAAGCGAAAGUGACGGUACCUGCAGAAAAAGCACCGGCUAACUACGUG
RNAcentral lists this ribosomal RNA (467 nucleotides) under uncultured bacterium. Its description in RNAcentral is "partial 16S ribosomal RNA". It matches the Rfam family "Bacterial small subunit ribosomal RNA", at positions 28 to 507 of the family's 1533-position model. The record is from RNAcentral.